CAUGUUCUUGCUAUAUUACCUAGUAAUGUACCAAAAGUUAGCGGCCGCUACUUUACCGAGCGCCAUUUUGAUCGCAAAGUGAAACAUUAAAAGGAAUUGAUGAGGUUCAUGUCUGGUAAGACGCUGUUAUAGUGCCAUUUCUUGGCCUUGCCACUGUUCUGCUAUGGUUACAUUUCCGAGUGAAGACUGUAAUAGUUUUGCUGCCAAUUAACUUAGAUCACCAAUUGCAUAGCAAAGAUGGCCGAUGAUCUAACAGUGGAUCCUAAGUUGCUGAAAAGUCGGAAAAGGGUAAAGAUAUCUGAUAAGACAUCGAAGGAAAUGGCCGGUCCAUCAAAGGUUAAAAAGGAAAGAGGACUUAAGGCAUCAGUCCAUUCACAAAAAGAAAUGUCUGGCUCAUCCCAG
Lytechinus pictus (painted urchin) is the source of this 402-nucleotide long non-coding RNA. RefSeq lists it as uncharacterized. Lineage: Eukaryota; Metazoa; Echinodermata; Echinoidea; Temnopleuroida; Toxopneustidae. The record is from RefSeq and is a predicted model, not a curated record. The transcript is spliced from 4 exons.